UACGAAGGGUGCAAGCGUUACUCGGAAUUACUGGGCGUAAAGGGUGCGUAGGUGGUUUGUUAAGUCCGUUGUGAAAUCCCUGGGCUCAACCUGGGAAUGGCAGUGGAUACUGGCAAGCUAGAGUGCGGUAGAGGGUAGUGGAAUUCCCGGUGUAGCAGUGAAAUGCGUAGAGAUCGGGAGGAACACCAGUGGCGAAGGCGGCUACCUGGACCAGCACUGACACUGAGGCACGAAAGCGUGGGGAGCAAACAGG
RNAcentral lists this ribosomal RNA (253 nucleotides) under uncultured bacterium. RNAcentral's name for it is "partial 16S ribosomal RNA". It matches the Rfam family "Bacterial small subunit ribosomal RNA", at positions 524 to 776 of the family's 1533-position model. The record is from RNAcentral.